This 653-nucleotide small RNA is filed under the name Pongo abelii (Sumatran orangutan). RNAcentral describes it as "retained intron". The record is from RNAcentral. Lineage: Eukaryota; Metazoa; Chordata; Mammalia; Primates; Hominidae.
GGGUCGCUGCGAACCCCGGCGUUCCGCGGUGGAGGGGUGCUAUACUGGGAUGCAGGCGCGGCAAUCAUGCCCUGGGAGCUAAUGUAGAGCUUUGGAUAAUGCUUUUGCAAGUUGUACGAGAAGGGAAGUUCUUGGGGUUUCUGACCUCCUGCAGCCUCCUCUUGCCUCGGGCUGCCCAGAUCUUGGCGGCUGAGGCUGGCUUACCUUCAAGCCGUUCCUUCAUGGGAUUUGCUGCUCCCUUCACCAACAAGCGAAAGGCUUACUCGGAGCGUAGAAUCAUGGGGUACUCAAUGCAGGAGAUGUAUGAGGUGGUGUCCAACGUCCAGGAGUAUCGUGAGUUUGUGCCCUGGUGUAAGAAGUCUCUGGUGGUAUCCAGCCGUAAGGGUCACUUGAAAGCCCAGCUGGAGGUUGGCUUUCCACCUGUCAUGGAACGUUACACCUCUGCAGUUUCCAUGGUCAAACCUCACAUGGUCAAGGUGAGGCCUGUAUGGGAGGGAUUGACAAGAUUUUUUGUUUUUAGCAGUUUCAUAUGAAAGUGCUAUUUUGGCCUUCCUUGUUAAGGACUUUAUGUCCAUGUGUCAAGUAUUUCCCUAAUAUCAGAAAAGAAGGAAAAUGGCUUUCAAUUCCUUUAUAUUGUAUCCUAUACUUAGUAA